Molecule: long non-coding RNA, 581 nt
Organism: Erinaceus europaeus (western European hedgehog)
Lineage: Eukaryota; Metazoa; Chordata; Mammalia; Eulipotyphla; Erinaceidae
Exons: 3
Source: RefSeq, a predicted model, not a curated record
GUUCAGGGGAAGCUAACAGAGCUGGGCCUGAGGGAGAAGACUUAAUCUCAAGGUCUUCUAAAGCUGAAUCUGGCUGUUCAAAGGAGUACCCAGCAUUAAAUGAUAGAUAUUAAGAGAAUAAAUCAGAGGUCCCUGACACCCUGACACCCUGUGUGUGGUCGAGAAGUUGAGCAGAGAAUGUGGAGCCUUUGGGACACACCAGAGUGUGGCCCUGGCCAGAAAACCCGCAAUUACUUCACAUCAUAAUCAUCCUCACGCGACAGCCACCAGGUUCCAGAUGCUAACAUGGUGCCAACCUGACUUCCCUGGACAGACAACCCCGCCAAUGUGUCCUGGAGUGCCACUCCCCACAGCCCACCCCACUAGGGAAAGAGAGAGACAAGCUGGGAGUAUGGAUCUUCCUGACAAUGCCCAUGUUCAGUGGAGAAGCAAUUCCAGAAGCCUGACCUUCCACCUUCUGCACCCCAUAAUGACCCUGUGUCCAUACUCCCAGAGAGAUAAAGAAUAGGAAAGCUAUCGGGAGGGGAUGGGAUACGGAGUUCUGGUGGUGGGAAUUGUGUGGAGUUGUACCCUUCUUAUCC